GGACAAGAAUGACACUAUCGUCAGUCAACCGACAAUUACGGAGUCCCAAUACAUUUGAAAAUGUAGCUCUAUUUGUAUUAAAAGAAUCAUUUACAUUCCUUUAUUUCUGUCCUUAAAUAAUGUGGUACUAAUUCUUGCCGAUAGACAGUAGGCCAUUGAUAUUGAAUAAAAGGAGAUGACUGAUCCAUUAACAGAUCCAAAUUAAGAUGCAGUGUACGAAAAAGAUCCUGCAAUUAUCUCAAUGGUCAUUCUCCUUUGCACAC
RNAcentral lists this long non-coding RNA (263 nucleotides) under Elaeis guineensis (African oil palm). RNAcentral describes it as "long non-coding RNA (EGUI_LNC079789)". Lineage: Eukaryota; Viridiplantae; Streptophyta; Magnoliopsida; Arecales; Arecaceae. The record is from RNAcentral.